CUACAAUGUACUUUUUAUAUAUCUAUUAUACGAGAACACGUUAUUUGCCUGAGCAAAUUUAUUCAUGCUAAAAAGACUUAAUACUCCUUGCUGAACCUGCGUUUAUAAACUCAAAAAAAUCUAUUUCAUGUAAAAUGACUAUCCAACCCUUCCGAAGCCUGCUCCGAACCUAAUUCUCGUCUUAGAUUCUCCGGCAGAAAUUAUCUCUUUCUGCUUGCCUGCUCGACUUCCUCCAUCUUCCAGUUAUAAUCAUGUUAAUGCCUAUAGUACGGUUUUCUCUAGCAAAUAGGGAUUUUCCAAUUUUAAUCAUCUCAGAUUCUCAAUCCGUCAGUUGUCGACAACCUUCGCUCGGGUUACCAAGUUGUCGGGUUUGUGUGAUAUUAUUCAAAGCAUAUGGUGAAUUUGUUGAUGAGAAUGAGAGUGAAUGAAGGUUUCAAUUUGUGAUUUGUGAAGAAAAUGCAGUUUUCAGGUUUUGAAAUUGCUUUCAGGCGAUCCUGACAAAGUUACGGUGGUGGAAGCCUUGAGUGUUGCUUGUGUCGAUUUUUCAGCUGUUGGUGUGGGUAUGUUCUCUUGACAGCUUACUUGGUUACCACUAUCCGCAAAUUCUAAAACUUGUGAGGAAUAUAUAUAAUCAUAUUUAUGUUUGGUAUGAUUUUCUGGCGCUAGAUUUUUUCCCGAGAGGAACUUGAAAAACUCUGUUGGGAUGAUAUAAUUAAAAACUGAUAAAAUUUCAAAGUUCAGUUACGGCUGGAUCAUCGGUCAGCACCCUCCUUUUGUUAAGAUUUUUGUAGAUGUAUUUAUUUCUUCGAUCCGACAAGCUUGUUAUGAAUUUUGAUUUCAAGUCUCUGCAUUUAGCUCUAAAAUUUUGGUUGAGAAAGGUCAAUAUUUUUACUUGUUUUGUUCCAGCAGUGAUCAUGUAAUCAUCUAGGGCGUGUCACUGAAUUUUAUAGUAGCUAGAGUUGAACUUGAUUGAUUUUUCUUGGAAAGUUUUUUCCUCCUAAUUUACAGAAGAAUUGUGUUGGUCACUCGUAGCUUCCUGUGAAAUACUCAAAGCUAUCUGCGGUUUGAGGUACAUGAUUGUACUGUGGUGUUAAUUAAUAUAAUAUUAUGAUUCUUGUCACUUUUCUUUAUAGUAGUAUGGUGCUUUAUUGUGUAAAACUUUUACUGGUGAACAGUCUAUGUCGUGCAGGCUAUUAGAUAACAAACAGUCUAUGUCAUGCUCAUCCUAAUUUAAAUCAGUUGGUUAGCUUAUUUUGCUUAUAUAUAAAGGAAGAUUAAUUAAGUCUCUGAGAUUAAUGAUAUGGUAAUUGGUAUGGUGCAUGUGCAUGCUUACCAAUCUUAAUGUUCUUUUUAAUGAAGCAGCGAGAGGACUUGCUUUUCUCCAUUCAAGUACAGAGAUUGGAGCUCCUAUAGUUCAUAGUUCACAGGGACUUCAAAUCCACCAAUAUCCUUUUGAACGAUAACUAUGAGGCAAAGAUAUCAGAUUUCAGGCUUGCAAAGUUCAUGCCUGAUGGGCAUGAAAACUGUGUUACCGCCACAGUUCUUGGUACCUUCGUCUACUUUGAUCCUGAGUAUAAAUUGGUAUGCUUUUUAAUGCAAUUAACAUAACUACUCCUACUUGGUUGUGUCUGUCCAUAUAUAACUAAAAGUACUACACCAGAUCCAUUUAAUUCAACAUGAAGAACAUAGUUCAGGCGUCUAGGCAAAGCAACCAGAAGAAUAAUCUGUCAUUGGUUCGGUUUAUCAAUAAAUUGUGACCGCAUUCAGAUUCUUACUGGUGGUCGUUUUCAGCAACGACUCAGCACCUAAUAUAUAAGUAUGUUGGCCUGUGGAAAUCUGAACUAAGAGCUUAUAGUACUGCUGCUACUGCCUUCUUAUUCAAUGAAUCACUUGCUGCUGUUACUAUCAGAAUUCAAAAUGAAUCUUAGAAACAAAUAUAGAAACGUAGUAACAUAAAAGAUAUGGAUGUGGAUGAACAAACCAGGUCUCCUUCAGUUGCCAUUAAUCGUCGUACUUAGUAAAAUAUAACCUGGUUUCAAUGAUGUCCUGGGAAAAAAUAUCCCAACUCCCAUACCCAAAAUUUAUUGGUAAUAAUUCAGCAAAGAUCUUUAGAUUAUUUGCGAGAACAAUGAAUUUAUAGAAAAAUAAUUAAAUAGAGAGCUGAAAGAUAUCAUUUACAUAAGCUCAUUCCUGAUUCUCCCCCUCUCUUUUUCUACAUAAGAGUCUACUGUAUUAUGUUUAUUAAAUUAAGAUCCCGUAUUAUGCUCCCAUAUACAGCCAGAUAAACAAAUACUACUACUUUGUUUCACCAACACAGCGCAUGAACUGCACAACCGACUGACAGAAAGGCUAACUCAUUACAAGUGCAAGAUUUCAGUCGAACUCUGCAAUUUUGCCUAAAUGUACCCGACGUGGAUAAGCUGAAGACACAUAUCCAUUUGAAACUUCUCAUGUGUCUUAGUAAGCUUGCGAACAAGGAUGCAGCUCAGCGAGAGGACUUGCUUUUCUCCAUUCAAGUACAGAGAUUGGAGCUCCUAUAGUUCACAGGGACUUCAAAUCCACCAAUAUCCUUUUGAACGAUAACUAUGAGGCAAAGAUAUCAAAUUUCAGGCUUGCAAAGUUCAUGCCAGAUGGGCAUGAAAACUGUGUUACCGCCACAGUUCUUGGUACCUUCGGCUACUUUGAUCCUGAGUAUAAAUUGGUAUGCUUUUUAAUGCAAUUAACAUAACUACUCCUACUUGGUUGUGUCUGUCCAUAUAUAACUAAAAGUACUACACUAGAUCCAUUUAAUUCAACAUGAAGAACAUAGUUCAGGCGUCUAGGCAAAGCAACCAGAAGAAUAAUCUGUCACCUCUGAGGCAAAUAUAUUGUAGAUAAAUAAUAGACAACUGCACUGAAACUCUAUAGCUCACUAGCUGUAGACCCUAGUGCACCGAAAGUAACCUGUCAGAACCAAGUUAAUGAUUUGGAACAUAUCUAUGUAAUCAAUAGAUUAGUUAGUCUGCCUCGCCGAAUUAUAGGUCAUUGAUCUGCAAGUUUUCUACUUGAGAGUAAGGAGACGGGAAUUGCAUUAUUAGUUGCUUAAACUUAGUUCAUUUGUUAACCUGUUCACUCUAUAGUAAAAUUCUGCUUUUCAAGUAUAGUUCUCUAAUGUAGACCAUUGCAAUAGUUUAUACAAGAAAUUUCAAGUUUAUCUAAUGCAAUAAUUUUCCAAUUCCUUUAAAUAUAGUUUCUUCUUCUCUCUACAACUUAUAUCUGCUCUAAGUCUUGGAUUUUUUUUUUUUGUUAUAGGAUCUGGUCUAACCAUAUAUUUACAGUAUUCUUGUUCCAUCUGACUCUAAAUUUCUCGUAUGAUGGUUCCUGAUCAUAAUAUUGAAUUUCUGUUAUUAUAGAAUAUUUACAUUAUAUGCCUGCUUUUUAGGUUUCUAUACUGAACAACUGACAAUAUGAGCCUAGUACUGAAGUCUCGACUCUCGAGUUAGUUUUGGUUUAGUUUAUGAAUCCAUUUAUAAAUUUAGCAUAUGAAAAUAGUGGUACCCUAAUACAAACUACUGUUCUAUCGAAUUUGUUACUUCAAGGAUGUUGAAAACUCACGUGAUUACUUCAAGGGAAGGCAUGCCUGAUGCAAUUUCUGUUGACAAGUAAGUACCAGCAAGGGGAGAACCCAGAUCCUGUGUUUCAUGACUCGGUGUCCAGCCAAAAAGAAAUCCCUCCCUCUGCAGUGCAAGACAAGUACACUAAGGUUAAGGUCUUAACUCUUAAGGAUCUUGUCCUUCAGUACACUAAGCGCCAGAAGGCUCAAGUCACCUAAAAAGAAUCGGACUGUACGGCCUGAUAAUUUUGAGAGUUUCUUUCCACUUAUUCCUUUGUCAUGAGACAGAGAGACUUGUCUACUGCAUGUCACUUGAAUCAGUUUUUUUUUUUUUCUCUGUUAAUCGCUAUUUUUACGAGUAUACAGUCUCUCCCAUUUCAUGCAACACUUUUAUUGAGCAUGUUUGUGCACUUAUUAAAUAAGUGAUUUAUACCAGGCCCGUGCAUUGCACGGGCACUGAUGCUAGUUAUACUAAAUCUUGUCAUUUUUAUA
This is an RNA transcript of Daucus carota subsp. sativus, 4084 nucleotides long. It is a transcript of the gene named probable serine/threonine-protein kinase PBL28, with no coding region annotated. NCBI's taxonomy places the organism in Eukaryota, Viridiplantae, Streptophyta, Magnoliopsida, Apiales, Apiaceae. The record is from RefSeq and is a predicted model, not a curated record. The transcript has 6 exons.